Molecule: ribosomal RNA, 460 nt
Filed under: uncultured bacterium
Lineage: Bacteria
Description: partial 16S ribosomal RNA
Rfam family: Bacterial small subunit ribosomal RNA
Source: RNAcentral
CCUACGGGGGGCAGCAGUGAGGAAUAUUGGUCAAUGGACGCGAGCCUGAACCAGCCAAGUAGCGUGAAGGAAGACUGCCCUACGGGUUGUAAACUUCUUUUAUACAGGAGUAAAGUGAGGCACGCGUGCCUUUCUGAAAGUAUUUUAUGAAUAAGGAUCGGCUAACUCCGUGCCAGCAGCCGCGGUAAUACGGAGGAUCCGAGCGUUAUCCGGAUUUAUUGGGUUUAAAGGGUGCGUAGGCGGUUGGUUAAGUCAGUUGUGAAAGUUUGCGGCUCAACUGUAAAAUUGCAAUUGAUACUGUCAGUCUAGAGUACAGUUGAGGUAGGCGGAAUGCAUGGUGUAGCGGUGAAAUGCUUAGAUAUCACGAAGAACUCCGAUUGCGAAGGCAGCUUACUAAGCUGCUACUGACGUUGAUGCACGAAAGUGUGGGUAGCAAACAGGAUUAGAUACCCCAGUAGUC